This 519-nucleotide ribosomal RNA is filed under the name Bifidobacterium longum subsp. suillum. RNAcentral describes it as "bacterial SSU rRNA". It matches the Rfam family "Bacterial small subunit ribosomal RNA", at positions 159 to 693 of the family's 1533-position model. The record is from RNAcentral. Lineage: Bacteria; Bacillati; Actinomycetota; Actinomycetes; Bifidobacteriales; Bifidobacteriaceae.
GGUGGUAAUGCCGGAUGCUCCAGUUGAUCGCAUGGUCUUCUGGGAAAGCUUUCGCGGUAUGGGAUGGGGUCGCGUCCUAUCAGCUUGACGGCGGGGUAACGGCCCACCGUGGCUUCGACGGGUAGCCGGCCUGAGAGGGCGACCGGCCACAUUGGGACUGAGAUACGGCCCAGACUCCUACGGGAGGCAGCAGUGGGGAAUAUUGCACAAUGGGCGCAAGCCUGAUGCAGCGACGCCGCGUGAGGGAUGGAGGCCUUCGGGUUGUAAACCUCUUUUAUCGGGGAGCAAGCGAGAGUGAGUUUACCCGUUGAAUAAGCACCGGCUAACUACGUGCCAGCAGCCGCGGUAAUACGUAGGGUGCAAGCGUUAUCCGGAAUUAUUGGGCGUAAAGGGCUCGUAGGCGGUUCGUCGCGUCCGGUGUGAAAGUCCAUCGCUUAACGGUGGAUCCGCGCCGGGUACGGGCGGGCUUGAGUGCGGUAGGGGAGACUGGAAUUCCCGGUGUAACGGUGGAAUGUGUAG